Molecule: long non-coding RNA, 4350 nt
Filed under: Sus scrofa (pig)
Lineage: Eukaryota; Metazoa; Chordata; Mammalia; Artiodactyla; Suidae
Description: lncRNA (ENSSSCG00060040648.1)
Source: RNAcentral
AAACAACAGAGGUUUAUUUUCUCACAGUUGUGAAGGCUAGGUAUCAAGACCAAGGUGACAGCAUGCUUGGCUUCUUCUGAGGCCUGCACUUGGCUCAUAAAUGGCCACCUUCUUGCUGUGUCCUCACAUGGUCUUUCCUCUAUAUGUGCACAUCCCUACUGUCUGUGUGUCCAAGUCUCCUCUUACAAGGACACCUGACAGAUUGGAUUAGGACUCCAUCUAAUAGCCUCAUUUUAACUUAAUCACCUCUUAAAAGGCCUCAUCUCUAAAUACAGCCACAUUUUGAGGUACUUCAAUGUAUGUCCUUUUUGAGGGGUGGGGGGGUGUCACACCCAAAGCACAUGGAGGUUCCCAGGACAGGGGUCCAAUCGGAGCUGUAGCUGAGAGCCUACGCCACAGCAACAGCAAUGUGGGAUCCAAGCUGUGUCUGCCACCUACACCACAGCUCAUGGCAACGCUGAAUCCUUAACCCCCCGAGCAAGGCCAGGAAUCAAACCCAAGUCCUCAUGGAUAUUUGUCAGGUGAGGCAAAACAGGAACUCCAGGGCUUCCAAUACAUGAUUGUCAGGUGGAGGCGCACAAUUCAGCCUGUAACAGAAGUUAUAUUCUUUUUCCUGAAAACUUUGCAUAUAUAGCAUGUAUCUAUAACAACACUUUCUUGAUCUUAGCUUGGACCAAGUGUGUUAUCUCAUUUUUACAAAAUCAUACACUUGUGAGGUAGACAGAGCAGUUUGUAUUACCUCAUUAAUCACUUUAUUUUGGCAGCCCUAGCAAACUCAUACAACAUCUUUGGAGAACUACUAGUUCUCCGGUAUGGCUGGAGAGGAGGAGGUAAAGCUAUAGACAUAACAGGAGUCAGAUCACUUAGGACCUUGUGUGCCAUUCUAACUAGUUUAGAUUUCAUUCUGAGGGCAAUGUGGAGGUUUUAUUCAAAAAUGUGACAAGGUCAGGUCUGGAUUUAUAAAGAAUGUGAAAAAUGGCCUGGAACUGUUGUUGCUGGACCAGCAUCCUGGGAACAAGUUAGAAAUGCAACAUUUCAGGCUCCACCCCAGACUCAGAAAACUGCAGAUUAAGCCAGGCCUUCCAGGUGAUUCUGAUACAAGCUAAAAUUUGAAGACCAUUGGCCUACAGAACAAGGCUGGACCGGAGGCCCCACUUCCUCACAGGGUUUAUUUUGUUUUUUGUUUUUUUUAGGGCCACACCUGCAGCACACUGAGGUUCCCAGGCUACGGGUUGAAUAAGAGCUGUAGCCCCUGGCCUACACCACAGCCACAGCAACACCAGAUCCAAGCCACGUCUGCAACCUACACCACAGCUCACGGCAACGCCAGAUCCUUAACCCACUGAUGGAGUCCAGGGAUCAAACCUGUGUCCUCAUGGAUACUAGUCAAAUUCAUUUCCGCUGAGCAACGAUGGGAACUCCCUUCACAAGGUUUUAAGAGACUCAAGAUAAAAUACAUAGAAGUCUUCAGUAUUGUAAAUACAUAUAUAUAUAUAUAUAUAGCUAUAGCUCUAUCACUUCACAGGUUCCAGCUUCUUUCCCAAGCCUGGACAUUUAUAGUUUUGCAGAAUGGCCCGCUUGCUGACUUACUAUAACUUUGGAAUUUUUUUUGGUUUCUUUGGUUGCAUUCCGAAUAUGAAGUUCCCAGGCCAGGGAUCAAACCACAGCAGUGACCCAAGCUGCCAAAUCCUUGAAACACUGCACCACAAGAGAACUCCAUGUAACUCUGAAAUGACCCAAAAUCCAACACUUCAUUUUAACUUUAACUUCUACAAUCAUUAUGUAGAAAUGAUAUAAGAGGCUCUGGAGUAGAGAGAUUCAUAUUUGAAUUUCCAAAUCCUGACACUUAAUAGCUCUAUGAUUUUUUUCUAUUUCACUAAAAAUCUUCCAGUCUGUCGUUCUUAUAAGUGGAUUUAUCCACUUGUACAGAAUGCUCUGAGCAUUUAUAUCACCAGUUUUAAUAAGCUAGCUUUCUCUUUUGAAUUAUCUUCAAUUAGUUACCUAAGACUUAUGUACUAUGGAUGAACUGAGUCCUAACCAUGAGACCAACAGGGAACUCCUUUCCCCCCCUAAUUAUUCUGCAGUAGAUGAGCUGACAAAGCAGCCUUUGGAAAUGAAAACUGAAAGACAGAUUCUGAAUUCUGAUAAGUGAUUCCCUAAUUUCUCACACUAAUUCAAAAAGAAAAGUAGUUAUGAUUAUAAAAUCUUAUGUGUUGAAAUCUGGGAAAUAUUGUAGAAAUCUUGGAAAUUAUAGAAUAACAUUAAAAAAAAAAAACCCUAUCCCUACCACCUAGAGGAAGCUACUACAGACAUUUUGUUCUGUAUCCAUUUAGUCCACUGAAAUAACACAUAUCCGUACAUGUAUGUUUUUAUAGAACUGAGCUCUUACUCUUACAUGUUCUCUUUUUCUGUUUGUAUUUUACUUAAUCCUGUGUUGUAAAUAUUCUCAAGUAAAUGUCAAGAACAUGAUUUUUAUGACCAUGUAGUAGUUAUCAUCUGCUCUGAGGUAACAUCCUUAAAUUCACAACCAAGUCCUAUGCAAAACAGAAAUAAUGAAAAACCAAAAAUUCAGCUGUACAUUAAUAACAAUAAGAAUUCCCAAAAGGGAAAUAAAGCCAGCUAACCAAAUGUUUUGGAAGAGUUUUCUGACAAAGUAAUUGCAUCCUUUUUUUUUUUGUUUUUUUAAUCUGUAGCUUCACAUAGAAAUAUCUUUCCACUAUUUCCCAAAAUUUUAGGUAUCAGGACCACAACUUUCUUUUUUUGGCUGCUUUGCAGCAUAUAGAGUUAUUGGGCCAAGGAUCAGAUCUGAGCCAGUUGCCACCUAAGCCACAGCUGAAACACCAGAUCCUUUAACAUACCAGGUCUGCCUGGGGAUCAAACCUACGUCCUGGAGCUGUAGGGACACCAGUAAUCCCAUUGUGCCACAGCAGGAACUCCAGAACUGUAACAUUUUAAAGAUUUUUUUGAAGCCUAAUACUUGUUUCAACAUAAAAUACCAUUUAAAAAAAAAUUUUUUUUUUUUUUUUAGCUUUUUUAGGGCCACACCCUCGGCAUAACGAAAUUCCCAGGCUAGGGGUUGAACUGGAGCUGCAGCUGUUGGCCUGUACCACAGUCACAGCAAUGCUAAAUCUGAGCCACGUCUGCAACCUACACCACAGCACACAGCAAUGCAGGAUCCUUACUCCCCUGAGCAGGGCCAGGGAUCAAACUUGCAUCAAGGACACUAUCCUUGAGGAGAGAGGGCUGAGAUUCUGAGUACAACUGGUGGAAUUCACUCUGAUAGGACAUCUCUGCAACUUAAACAAGAAAGAUGCAAGAAAAAAUGAGUGCAGAUUUGACCAUCUGAAUUUGAGGCAUUUCCCUCAGAUGGUUUCUAUUUUGUCAAGUUUGAGGCAAGGGCACUAGCUGAAAAUGAGGGAUUUGAGGAGAUACGUGAAGGUAUGAAUGGUUAAUCCAGAGAAUGAAAGCUUUGUCAGCCAGUGUUGAGUGCUCCUGUGAGGUCUGAGGUCAUGAAUUAAAAACAGGUGUUGUAUGAUUUUUUCGCUAGCAAUCUUAGUUAACUGGGUACAAGCAAUGAGAAAGCUUGUUCCAGCAAGGGUCAGUUCAGUCAAGAUUAAGGUACUUCCUAGCAAGAAGGAUAGUUAUUGGGGUAAAAGAUUUGAAAAUGUUUGCAAAAGAGUGAUUACAAAGAUUGAUUGGGGAAUCUAAGUUAAGUGAGUUGGAAUGAGUAUGAUAGUGGAAGCAGGAUAAUGAUUUUUUCUUAAUUGUUGGAGGUUAAUGGAUCGGAGGUCAAUGAGAAUAUGAUAAAUGAGCUGAGGGGUAGAGGCUAGUGAUUGACAUUUGGGAUGCUUGGAGUGAGAGAAGGUAAAAGUUAUUGUUGACAAGGUUCAGAGUCUUACCACUGGAGGGGAUGAGUGAAAUGGAACAGAGGAACAAGCUGUUGGAGAUGAAGAGGUCAAGACCGAAGAGGUCCAGUGUUGGUGUUACAUGGGUCAUCUAGGAGAGUGCUGAACUCCCACAGAAUAUAAACAACCUAGUGUGGGGAACAAUAGUCUACUUUCUGAGGAAGAGUGGUCAGGGGGUUGAUAAAUUACAGCAAUAAAGAUAAUAAAGGGUGAUUUAGAGUUCCCACUGUGGCUCAGUGGUUAAUGAACUCAACUCAUAUCCAUGAGGACUUGGGUUCCAUCCCUGGCCUCGCUCAGUGGGUUAAGGAUCCAUCGUUGCCGUGAGCUGUGGUGUAGGUCAUAGCCUCGGCUUGGAUCCUGCGUUGCUGUGGCUGUGGCGCAGGCCAGCAGCUACAGCUCUGAUUUGAUCCCUAGCUUAGGAACUUCCAUAUGCUGCAAGUGUGGC